GGAUUCGAGUUUGAUUUUUAAAUUUAUACUAUUUGGAUAACCGAAUAACCGAACUAGUUAUAAAAAAAAAUUAAGCCUUAAAGCCUUCAGUUUUCAGAUCUUUGAGUUAAAGGUUAAAAAAGUAAUCUUUCUCACUCUUUAGUCUUCAGGAUCUGAUCUCUCUCAAUCUCAUGACUCAUCAUAUUAUUAGACUCAUCAUAUUAUCCCCUCAUCUCUACAGUCCCGAUUGACAUCUCAGUAUCUCCCUCUCCUACAGUCCAACAGUGUCUCAGUAUCUCACUCAGAUCUCAAAUUCCUCUCUACUCUUAUCUCUUUGAAGUCUGAUCUCUGCCCAAAACCCAAAACCUAAAAUCUCACUAUUACCCCAAAUCACGAGUCGCGACUCCGCCUAGCGCCUACAGUCCUUUGCGACCUCGCCUUCCGCAGCCUCGCGGCCCUUGCCUUCCGCAGCCUCUCUGCCUCUCCGUGGCUCCGCCUACACUCCGCUUCUUCUCUCAUCUUCACCUGUUUGAUAUAUAUAUAUAUAUAUAUAUAUAUGAUGUGUGAGAGUAUUUGUUUUCUCGAUCCUCCUUGUGUGCUUAAUUAGAGUGAUCAAUUGAUUAUUGUAAUUUGUGUUUUGGGUUUUGGGUAGUUGUUAUUGUUUUCCCUUUUACCCCCAGUCCCAUAAAGUAAACUUUAUAUAUAUAAUUGUUCAUUAUUUUUCUGGUACUAUGCUUCAUUCAAAUAUUAUUUGAAUAUCCAAAAUGAAUCUGUAUUGGGAGGUCUGUUUGGCUGUUUCUUUGAAUAUAUACAAUGCAACCCUAUAGAAGAAACAUAAUCCAGAACAUUUCGAUUUUUAACCGAAUAGUAAAUUCGGUUAUUGGGUAAUUCGAUUAUCUUUUAAUUGGGUUAGUAGUUCGGAU
Molecule: long non-coding RNA, 902 nt
Filed under: Panax ginseng (ginseng)
Lineage: Eukaryota; Viridiplantae; Streptophyta; Magnoliopsida; Apiales; Araliaceae
Description: long non-coding RNA (PGIN_LNC018425)
Source: RNAcentral